This 746-nucleotide ribosomal RNA is filed under the name Lentilactobacillus diolivorans. RNAcentral's name for it is "bacterial SSU rRNA". It matches the Rfam family "Bacterial small subunit ribosomal RNA", at positions 51 to 753 of the family's 1533-position model. The record is from RNAcentral. Lineage: Bacteria; Bacillati; Bacillota; Bacilli; Lactobacillales; Lactobacillaceae.
AUACAUGCAAGUCGAACGCGUCUUGGUCAAUGAUUUUAGGUGCUUGCACUUGACUGAUUUGACAUUGAGACGAGUGGCGAACUGGUGAGUAACACGUGGGUAACCUGCCCUUGAAGUAGAGGAUAACACUUGGAAACAGGUGCUAAUACUGCAUAACAACGAAAACCGCCUGGUUUUCGUUUGAAAGAUGGCUUCGGCUAUCGCUUUAGGAUGGACCCGCGGCGUAUUAGCUAGUUGGUGAGGUAACGGCUCACCAAGGCAAUGAUACGUAGCCGACCUGAGAGGGUAAUCGGCCACAUUGGGACUGAGACACGGCCCAAACUCCUACGGGAGGCAGCAGUAGGGAAUCUUCCACAAUGGACGAAAGUCUGAUGGAGCAACGCCGCGUGAGUGAUGAAGGGUUUCGGCUCGUAAAACUCUGUUGUUGGAGAAGAACGGGUGUCAGAGUAACUGUUGACAUCGUGACGGUAUCCAACCAGAAAGCCACGGCUAACUACGUGCCAGCAGCCGCGGUAAUACGUAGGUGGCAAGCGUUGUCCGGAUUUAUUGGGCGUAAAGCGAGCGCAGGCGGUUUUUUAGGUCUGAUGUGAAAGCCUUCGGCUUAACCGGAGAAGUGCAUCGGAAACCGGGAGACUUGAGUGCAGAAGAGGACAGUGGAACUCCAUGUGUAGCGGUGAAAUGCGUAGAUAUAUGGAAGAACACCAGUGGCGAAGGCGGCUGUCUGGUCUGCAACUGACGCUGAGGCU